RNAcentral lists this ribosomal RNA (555 nucleotides) under uncultured crenarchaeote. RNAcentral describes it as "bacterial SSU rRNA". It matches the Rfam family "Archaeal small subunit ribosomal RNA", at positions 323 to 881 of the family's 1478-position model. The record is from RNAcentral. Lineage: Archaea; Thermoproteati; Thermoproteota.
UUACGGGGUGCAGCAGGCGCGAAACCUCUGCAAUAGGCGAAAGCUUGACAGGGUUACUCUGAGUGAUUCCCGCCAAGGGGAUCUUUUGGCACCUUUAAAAAUGGUGCAGAAUAAGGGGUGGGCAAGUCUGGUGUCAGCCGCCGCGGUAAUACCAGCACCCCGAGUGGUCGGGACGAUUAUUGGGCCUAAAGCAUCCGUAGCCGGUACUGCAAGUCUUCCGUUAAAUCCAUCUGCUUAACAGAUGGGCUGCGGAGGAUACUAUGGAGCUAGGAGGCGGGAGAGGCAAGCGGUACUUAGUGGGUAGGGGUAAAAUCCGUUGAUCCACUGAAGACCACCAGUGGCGAAGGCGGCUUGCCAGAACGCGCUCGACGGUGAGGGAUGAAAGCUGGGGGAGCAAACCGGAUUAGAUACCCGGGUAGUCCCAGCUGUAAACGAUGCAGACUCGGUGAUGAAUAGGCUUCGUGCCUCUUCAGUGCCGCAGGGAAGCCGUUAAGUCUGCCGCCUGGGGAGUACGGUCGCAAGACUGAAACUUAAAGGAAUGGCGGGGGAGCACAA